This 501-nucleotide ribosomal RNA is filed under the name uncultured bacterium. Its description in RNAcentral is "partial 16S ribosomal RNA". It matches the Rfam family "Bacterial small subunit ribosomal RNA", at positions 28 to 523 of the family's 1533-position model. The record is from RNAcentral.
GACGAACGCUGGCGGCAUGCCUUACACAUGCAAGUCGAACGGCAGCACGGGUGCUUGCACCUAGUGGCGAGUGGCGAACGGGUGAGUAAUAUAUCGGAACGUACCUUAUUGUGGGGGAUAACGCAGCGAAAGCUGUGCUAAUACCGCAUAAUCCCUAAGGGGGAAAGCGGGGGACCGUAAGGCCUCGCGCAAUUAGAGCGGCCGAUACCUGAUUAGCUAGUUGGUGAGGUAAAGGCUCACCAAGGCAACGAUCAGUGGCUGGUCUGAGAGGACGAUCAGCCACAGUGGGACUGAGACACGGCCCAGACUCCUACGGGAGGCAGCAGUGGGGAAUUUUGGACAAUGGGGGCAACCCUGAUCCAGCAAUGCCGCGUGAGUGAAGAAGGCCUUCGGGUUGUAAAGCUCUUUUGUCAGGGAAGAAACAGCAGCUCUAACACAGUUUGCGAAUGACGGUACCUGAAGAAUAAGCACCGGCUAACUACGUGCCAGCAGCCGCCGUAA